CAUGGUUGGGGGGUCUAUUGCAGAUUACCCCGCCAUAGCAAACUCCGAAUACCGAAGAGUGCAAUCACGGGAGACAGACAUCGGGUGCUAACGUCCGGUGUCAAGAGGGAAACAACCCAGACCGCCAGCUAAGGUCCCCAAAUAUGGCUAAGUGGGAAACGAAGUGGGAAGGCUAAAACAGUCAGGAGGUUGGCUUAGAAGCAGCCACCCUUUAAAGAAAGCGUAAUAGCUCACUGAUCGAGUCGUCCUGCGCGGAAGAUGUAACGGGGCUAAGCCAUAUACCGAAGCUGCGGAUGCGAGCUAGUCUCGCAUGGUAGGAGAGCGUUCCGUAAGCCUGCGAAGGUGCGUUGAAAAGCGUGCUGGAGGUAUCGGAAGUGCGAAUGCUGACAUGAGUAGCGAUAAAGGGGGUGAAAGGCCCCCUCGCCGUAAGCCCAAGGUUUCCUACGCAACGUUCAUCGGCGUAGGGUGAGUCGGCCCCUAAGGCGAGGCAGAAAUGCGUAGCUGAUGGGAAGCAGGUCAAUAUUCCUGCACCAUUGUUAGAUGCGAUGGGGGGACGGAUCGCGGAAGGUUGUCCGGGUGUUGGAAGUCCCGGUCGCUGCAUUGGAGAAGGCGCUUAGGCAAAUCCGGGCGCAGGAUUCAAGGGUGUGGCGCGAGCUCCUUCGGGAGCGAAGCAAUUGGAAGUGGUUCCAAGAAAAGCCUCUAAGCUUCAGUCUAACGAUGACCGUACCGCAAACCGACACAGGUGGGCGAGAUGAGUAUUCUAAGGCGCUUGAGAGAACUCGGGAGAAGGAACUCGGCAAAUUGGUACCGUAACUUCGGGAUAAGGUACGCCCUGGUAGCUUGACUGGCCUGCGCCAGAAGGGUGAAGGGGUUGCAAUAAACUGGUGGCUGCGACUGUUUAAUAAAAACACAGCACUCUGCAAACACGAAAGUGGACGUAUAGGGUGUGACGCCUGCCCGGUGCCGGAAGAUUAAAUGAUGGGGUGCAAGCUCUUGAUUGAAGUCCCGGUAAACGGCGGCCGUAACUAUAACGGUCCUAAGGUAGCGAAAUUCCUUGUCGGGUAAGUUCCGACCUGCACGAAUGGCGUAACGAUGGCCACACUGUCUCCUCCCGAGACUCAGCGAAGUUGAAGUGUUUGUGAUGAUGCAAUCUACCCGCGGCUAGACGGAAAGACCCCAUGAACCUUUACUGUAGCUUUGCAUUGGACUUUGAACCGAUCUGUGUAGGAUAGGUGGGAGGCUAUGAAACCGGAACGCUAGUUUCGGUGGAGCCGUCCUUGAAAUACCACCCUGGUUUGUUUGAGGUUCUAACCUUGGCCCGUGAUCCGGGUCGGGGACAGUGCAUGGUAGGCAGUUUGACUGGGGCGGUCUCCUCCCAAAGCGUAACGGAGGAGUACGAAGGUACGCUAGGUACGGUCGGAAAUCGUGCUGAUAGUGCAAUGGCAUAAGCGUGCUUAACUGCGAGACCGACAAGUCGAGCAGGUGCGAAAGCAGGUCAUAGUGAUCCGGUGGUUCUGUAUGGAAGGGCCAUCGCUCAACGGAUAAAAGGUACUCUGGGGAUAACAGGCUGAUACCGCCCAAGAGUUCAUAUCGACGGCGGUGUUUGGCACCUCGAUGUCGGCUCAUCUCAUCCUGGGGCUGUAGCCGGUCCCAAGGGUAUGGCUGUUCGCCAUUUAAAGAGGUACGUGAGCUG
RNAcentral lists this ribosomal RNA (1693 nucleotides) under Burkholderia pseudomallei 1026a. Its description in RNAcentral is "bacterial LSU rRNA". It matches the Rfam family "Bacterial large subunit ribosomal RNA", at positions 914 to 2607 of the family's 2925-position model. Lineage: Bacteria; Pseudomonadati; Pseudomonadota; Betaproteobacteria; Burkholderiales; Burkholderiaceae. The record is from RNAcentral.